RNAcentral lists this ribosomal RNA (1378 nucleotides) under metagenome. RNAcentral describes it as "bacterial SSU rRNA". It matches the Rfam family "Bacterial small subunit ribosomal RNA". The record is from RNAcentral.
AGAGUUUGAUCCUGGCUCAGGAUGAACGCUGGCGGCGUGCUUAACACAUGCAAGUCGAACGAACCUUAGGGUUAGUGGCGGACGGGUGAGUAACGCGUGAGAAUCUGCCCUCAGGAGGGGGAUAACGGCUGGAAACGGCCGCUAAUACCCCAUAUGCCGAGAGGUGAAAUGAAUUUCGCCUGAGGAUGAGCUCGCGUCUGAUUAGCUAGUUGGUGGGGUAAGAGCCUACCAAGGCAUCGAUCAGUAGCUGGUCUGAGAGGAUGAUCAGCCACACUGGGACUGAGACACGGCCCAGACUCCUACGGGAGGCAGCAGUGGGGAAUUUUCCGCAAUGGGCGAAAGCCUGACGGAGCAACGCCGCGUGAGGGAUGAAGGCCUCUGGGCUGUAAACCUCUUUUAUCAAGGAAGAAGAUCUGACGGUACUUGAUGAAUAAGCCACGGCUAAUUCCGUGCCAGCAGCCGCGGUAAUACGGGAGUGGCAAGCGUUAUCCGGAAUUAUUGGGCGUAAAGCGUCCGCAGGCGGCCUGAUAAGUCUGUUGUCAAAGCGUGGAGCUCAACUCCAUUUCGGCAAUGGAAACUGUGAGGCUUGAGUGUGGUAGGGGCAGAGGGAAUUCCCGGUGUAGCGGUGAAAUGCGUAGAUAUCGGGAAGAACACCAGUGGCGAAGGCGCUCUGCUGGGCCAUAACUGACGCUCAUGGACGAAAGCCAGGGGAGCGAAAGGGAUUAGAUACCCCUGUAGUCCUGGCCGUAAACGAUGAACACUAGGUGUCGGGGGAAUCGACCCCCUCGGUGUCGUAGCCAACGCGUUAAGUGUUCCGCCUGGGGAGUACGCACGCAAGUGUGAAACUCAAAGGAAUUGACGGGGGCCCGCACAAGCGGUGGAGUAUGUGGUUUAAUUCGAUGCAACGCGAAGAACCUUACCAGGGUUUGACAUCCUGCGAAUCCCUUGGAAACUUGGGAGUGCCUUCGGGAGCGCAGAGACAGGUGGUGCAUGGCUGUCGUCAGCUCGUGUCGUGAGAUGUUGGGUUAAGUCCCGCAACGAGCGCAACCCACGUCUUUAGUUGCCAGCAUUGAGUUGGGCACUCUAGAGAGACCGCCGGUGAUAAACCGGAGGAAGGUGUGGAUGACGUCAAGUCAUCAUGCCCCUUACAUCCUGGGCUACACACGUACUACAAUGCUACGGACAAAGGGCAGCAAACUCGCGAGAGCUAGCAAAUCCCAUAAACCGUGGCUCAGUUCAGAUCGUAGGCUGCAACUCGCCUACGUGAAGGAGGAAUCGCUAGUAAUCGCAGGUCAGCAUACUGCGGUGAAUACGUUCCCGGGCCUUGUACACACCGCCCGUCACACCAUGGAAGUUGGCCACGCCCGAAGCCGUUACU